GCAGCGGGUUGGGUAAUUUUUCAUUCAAUUUCAAAAACCCCGCCGACGCCGAGUUCGAAGAACUCCACACCCACCAAACAAAGACCAAAAAUUUGCAAGCAAAAUGGCCGGCAUGUUUUGGCUUAUAUUGAAGCUAUUAGAAGCGGUUCAGGAGGGGCCCCUCUCCGCCGAUAUCUGGUGACGUUGGCCAACUUCCACUCGACUGCCAGGUGACUGCACGACUGCUCACGGCUCACGGCACACGGCUCACGGCUCACGAGGGAACCAGCAGCGAAGAGCUCGGAUCACUGGUAUUUUUAGUAUGAGUUUUGUGGCGCUGAUUUACAAGGUGAACCGGUAAGGUAGCCAAGACCAGUUCAAAACCCCAGACCAAGUUGCCCCCCCCCCCUGUCUCACCUACCCAUCACCAUUACCCCUCCCCUGCCCCUUCACCUUCCCCUUUUCCCCAGUAACUCCAGCCGAUAAGCAAACAGUUUUAGUUUUCAAUUUAUGCUAGCAUUUUUGGCAAUGCUUCAAAAUAAAAGCAGGG
This 529-nucleotide long non-coding RNA is filed under the name Drosophila guanche. The record is from RNAcentral. Lineage: Eukaryota; Metazoa; Arthropoda; Insecta; Diptera; Drosophilidae.